Pelobates cultripes (western spadefoot toad) is the source of this 218-nucleotide non-coding RNA. The record is from the annotation of a GenBank genome assembly. NCBI's taxonomy places the organism in Eukaryota, Metazoa, Chordata, Amphibia, Anura, Pelobatidae.
GACAGAUACACAAAUUUGUACAUGUAACAUGGCUACAAGCAUUUGACAGGGAUGGUGAUUCAUUCAGGCCCUGCUGCUGGCCAGACCUAAAUGCUUCUUAAUUCUCAGGUGUAGCAUUUGCCCUAGUGUUUCUCAGCCCUCCUGGAUCUGCUUCUGCUACUGUUUAAUACCAGUCAUGAAGAUUGAGUUGUAGAAGCUAUUAAUCCAGCAAUCCUGUG